Dermacentor silvarum is the source of this 1743-nucleotide long non-coding RNA. RefSeq lists it as uncharacterized. NCBI's taxonomy places the organism in Eukaryota, Metazoa, Arthropoda, Arachnida, Ixodida, Ixodidae. The record is from RefSeq and is a predicted model, not a curated record. The transcript is spliced from 4 exons.
UUAUGUUGGACAGUUUGUUAGUUAACCGUAAAUAAGUCUUGAUUUGUACUCAAGAGUGGAGCAAGGCCCUAGGGAACAGAGAUUGACGCAUCGUGAGCGAAGAACAGACGCGAUGGAUGGUUAGGCUGCUUGACUCUCGGCUGUACGACUCUCGGCAUGUUAGGACUGGCAAAGUUCCGAAUUUGUCGCGGUGUGGUGUACGCUUCUGUGCUCGUCAAGUGCCGUCAUAGCGCGGGGAUGUUUGAACGGAAUGUGUCCCUUCGUCUACAAAACUCUGCACGCUGCGGCAUCGAAGAAGUCCUGUGUACGGGUGCACGUAUGCGCUUGGAUACGGGAUAGCCUGCCCUCAACGGAUGUUCAACAGUGUACGCACGCUGCGCGUACGCGUACGUAUGAGACUAGUUGCUGGUGUCCUGCUGGAGCUGAGAAGAGAUCUGCUGCCUGCCAUGACGCCAUGUCUCUCAAGUUACUGCAAUAUUGUUGCCUUCAAACCUGUCGAGACAAGGUUUCUUUACAUGGCCAUGGCGCUCAAGGAAGAAACCGAGACUGCAGACUGCCAACGUUCAUUCCUGUUCCGGCAAAGACGGGCCAGCAGUAACCAGCAGGGUUUUACAAAGUGAACUCAUCACAGCUUGAGCCACUCCAUGCCACAAGCAGUUGCUCCUCGAGCCACCGUGCAAAGGUUCCUUGGGGCACAAGUCCAACUCAGCGCCACCACCUUUCUUCUGCAGUUUUUCUACCUACUUAGCUAACCAGCAGCAAGUUUAUCCUUGCAAGGCAUGUGGGAACAGCUUUCACCAGGAAACAGUGCAAGACGAGUGGUCGAAGAAAAUAAAAUUGCUUCUGUGAUCUAAAGUACUUGACGAAUAAAAUUUUGCACUUAUUUGUAUAUAUGUCGUGCAAUUCAUUCAUAUCACAAAAGGCAAAGUGUUUGAUCUUUUGAGCUAUUUCAAUGUGUUGGCCAGACAGUUUUCUCCAUAGCUACCUGCUGCUUCUGCGAUGAGCUGCAUUCAUGACAUUUUCAUUAAAGGAUAUGUACUAUCGGGGACAAAAGUGCCCAGGACGUGCGAGUGUCGACCAAAUUGCAUCUCUGCACUAUCAGCCGCUAUCAUCUGCGUUGCAGACCACUUUCCGAAUGCAAAUGUUAGCGUGGCUGAUCCCAGCAGAAAGUGCACCAAUAAAAUUCGGUCGACAUUCGCACAUUUUGGGCACUUCUGUCCCCGAUAAUACAUUCUCUAAACAAUCAAUAUGCUCUGUAAAACGUAAUACAGGAAACACCUGUAUUUUAACGAUUGGACCGUAUAGUACAGAUUUAGCAUACGGAGCCUUUUUAUUUCUGAGUACGGAAACACCUGUAUGUUAACGGUUGGACCGUAUAGUACAGAUUUAGCAUACAGAGUCUUUCGUUUUCUGGAUACGGAAACACCUGUAUUUUAACGGUUGGACCGUAUAGUACAAAUUCAGCAUACGGAGCCUUUCGUUUCCUGGAUACGAAAACACCUGUAUUUUAACGGUUGGACCGUAUACUACAGAUUCAACAUACAGCGCCUUCCGUUUUCUGAAUACGGAAAGCACCUGUACAUUAACGGUCGAACCAUAUGAUUCAGCAUACAGAGUCUUCCGUUUUCUGAAUAUGUAAGCACUCGUAUUUUGUAAUACGGUGUCUAUUUUUACGGUUGUCCGUUCUACGGAAAUGACCGUUCUUUACUUACGGAAAGUGUUCGGUCACAAAUUACCAGCAGA